Molecule: transfer RNA, 76 nt
Filed under: Marmota monax (woodchuck)
Lineage: Eukaryota; Metazoa; Chordata; Mammalia; Rodentia; Sciuridae
Description: tRNA.Gly
Source: RNAcentral
GGGGCUGUAGCUCAGUGGUAGAGCACUUGCCUACCAUGUAUGAGGCACUGCGUUCAAUUCUCAAAAUAAAGGUCCA